Molecule: small nucleolar RNA, 141 nt
Organism: Amblyraja radiata (thorny skate)
Lineage: Eukaryota; Metazoa; Chordata; Chondrichthyes; Rajiformes; Rajidae
Product: small nucleolar RNA SNORD10
Exons: 1
Source: RefSeq, a predicted model, not a curated record
CAUUUUAUGAUGAAAACAUGCGUGUCAACUGAUCCCAGAGUUUCUGUCUUGUGCCAGGCUCCUUGCUGAUGUUUUGUCACUAAGUGAUGCUGGUUACUGGAUGAUUCUGGGAACAUGAUCAUGCCUUGAAUUCUGAAAAUG